AACGAACGCUGGCGGCAUGCCUAACACAUGCAAGUCGAACGAUCCCUUCGGGGAUAGUGGCGCACGGGUGCGUAACGCGUGGGAACCUGCCCUUAGGUUCGGAAUAACUCAGAGAAAUUUGAGCUAAUACCGGAUAAUGUCUUCGGACCAAAGAUUUAUCGCCUUUGGAUGGGCCCGCGUUGGAUUAGCUAGUUGGUGGGGUAAAGGCCUACCGAGGCGACGAUCCAUAGCUGGUCUGAGAGGAUGAUCAGCCACACUGGGACUGAGACACGGCCCAGACUCCUACGGGAGGCAGCAGUGGGGAAUAUUGGACAAUGGGCGAAAGCCUGAUCCAGCAAUGCCGCGUGAGUGAUGAAGGCCUUAGGGUUGUAAAGCUCUUUUACCCGGGAUGAUAAUGACAGUACCGGGAGAAUAAGCCCCGGCUAACUCCGUG
RNAcentral lists this ribosomal RNA (433 nucleotides) under uncultured bacterium. Its description in RNAcentral is "partial 16S ribosomal RNA". It matches the Rfam family "Bacterial small subunit ribosomal RNA", at positions 29 to 507 of the family's 1533-position model. The record is from RNAcentral.